AUUGAACGCUGGCGGCAGGCCUAACACAUGCAAGUCGAGCGGAUGAGGGGUGCUUGCACCCUGAUUCAGCGGCGGACGGGUGAGUAAUGCCUAGGAAUCUGCCCGAUAGUGGGGGACAACGUUUCGAAAGGAACGCUAAUACCGCAUACGUCCUACGGGAGAAAGUGGGGGCUCUUCGGACCUCACGCUAUCGGAUGAGC
This 200-nucleotide ribosomal RNA is filed under the name uncultured bacterium. RNAcentral's name for it is "partial 16S ribosomal RNA". It matches the Rfam family "Bacterial small subunit ribosomal RNA", at positions 30 to 230 of the family's 1533-position model. The record is from RNAcentral.